This 253-nucleotide ribosomal RNA is filed under the name uncultured bacterium. RNAcentral describes it as "partial 16S ribosomal RNA". It matches the Rfam family "Bacterial small subunit ribosomal RNA", at positions 524 to 776 of the family's 1533-position model. The record is from RNAcentral.
UACGUAGGGUGCGAGCGUUGUUCGGAGUUACUGGGCGUAAAGGGUGCGUAGGCGGUCCUAUAAGUAUGGUGUGAAAUCUCCCGGCUUAACUGGGAGGGUGCGCUAUAGACUGUGGGACUAGAGUGUGGGAGAGGAAAGUGGAAUUCCUGGUGUAGCGGUGAAAUGCGUAGAUAUCAGGAGGAACACCGGCGGUGUAAACGGCUUUCUGGACCGUAACUGACGCUGAGACACGAAAGCGUGGGUAGCAAACAGG